Molecule: ribosomal RNA, 554 nt
Filed under: uncultured fungus
Lineage: Eukaryota; Fungi
Description: eukaryotic LSU rRNA
Rfam family: 5.8S ribosomal RNA (bases 213-366)
Source: RNAcentral
AAGUCGUAACAAGGUUUCCGUAGGUGAACCUGCGGAAGGAUCAUUAAAGAAUCGCCCCGUUUUUUGAAAUGGGUUCUAUUCCCAAACCGUGUAUACACAUACCUUUGUUGCUUUGGCAGGCCGCCUUUUAGGCGUCGGCUUCGGCUGACUGCGCCUGCCAGAGGACCCAAACUCGUUUGUUUAGUGAUGUCUGAGUACUAUAUAAUAGUUAAAACUUUCAACAACGGAUCUCUUGGUUCUGGCAUCGAUGAAGAACGCAGCGAAAUGCGAUAAGUAAUGUGAAUUGCAGAAUUCAGUGAAUCAUCGAAUCUUUGAACGCACAUUGCGCCCCUUGGUAUUCCGAGGGGCAUGCCUGUUCGAGCGUCAUUAUAACCACUCAAGCCUCGGCUUGGUCUUGGGGUUCGCGGUUCCGCGGCCCUUAAAAUCAGUGGCGGUGCCGUCUGGCUCUAAGCGUAGUAAUUCUCUCGCUAUAGGGUCCCGGCGGCUACCUGUCAAAACCCCCCCCAUUUUUUAUGGUUGACCUCGGAUCAGGUAGGGAUACCCGCUGAACUUAA